GAUGAACGCUAGCGGCAGGCCUAACACAUGCAAGUCGAGGGGUAACAUAGAGAAGCUUGCUUUUCUGAUGACGACCGGCGCACGGGUGCGUAACGCGUAUGCAACCUACCCUAUACUGGAGAAUAGCCCGGAGAAAUCCGGAUUAAUGCUCCAUAGUAAUACAAUUUCGCAUGUUAUUGUAUUUAAAGAUUACGGUAUAGGAUGGGCAUGCGUCCCAUUAGCUAGAUGGUAAGGUAACGGCUUACCAUGGCUACGAUGGGUAGGGGGCCUGAGAGGGUGACCCCCCACACUGGUACUGAGACACGGACCAGACUCCUACGGGAGGCAGCAGUGAGGAAUAUUGGGCAAUGGAGGCAACUCUGACCCAGCCAUGCCGCGUGCAGGAAGACGGUCCUAUGGAUUGUAAACUGCUUUUAUUUGGGAAUAAACUCCGCCACGUGUGGCGGCCUGAAUGUACCAAAUGAAUAAGCACCGGCUAACUCCG
This 484-nucleotide ribosomal RNA is filed under the name uncultured Fluviicola sp. RNAcentral describes it as "bacterial SSU rRNA". It matches the Rfam family "Bacterial small subunit ribosomal RNA", at positions 28 to 505 of the family's 1533-position model. The record is from RNAcentral. Lineage: Bacteria; Pseudomonadati; Bacteroidota; Flavobacteriia; Flavobacteriales; Crocinitomicaceae.